UUUAACUAUUCAAGUGAUUGCUAAACUUAUAUAUGAACAGAGGAAGCACUUUAGUGGAGGGGGAGCAAGAAGAAAGGAGAUGAAAAACCUUUCCUUAUGUGAUUCCUUCACCAAUUAAUGAAAGUCCCACUAGCUGAUACACUGUUCUUGUUGUCAAGUCAUCAUAAGAUCUUUUCUUUUCACAAAGAUAAACAAAAAUAGAC
This 203-nucleotide long non-coding RNA is filed under the name Brassica napus (rape). RNAcentral describes it as "long non-coding RNA (BNAP_LNC004728)". Lineage: Eukaryota; Viridiplantae; Streptophyta; Magnoliopsida; Brassicales; Brassicaceae. The record is from RNAcentral.